Long non-coding RNA from Pangasianodon hypophthalmus (striped catfish), 4871 nucleotides. RefSeq lists it as uncharacterized. The record is from RefSeq and is a predicted model, not a curated record. The transcript is spliced from 4 exons. NCBI's taxonomy places the organism in Eukaryota, Metazoa, Chordata, Actinopteri, Siluriformes, Pangasiidae.
GAAAAUAUGACGAGAUUAUAUUGAGCACCGCAGUGCUUCCCUACCAAGGACCUGAUUAUGAAGAUUGCAAAUCAAGUAGAACUGCAUGCAGGUCACAGGGAGCCUAUCCCAGGGGGCUGAGGAGACACCCUGGAUGGUGCCAACCCAUCACAAGUAGAUGCUGUGAACCAGAGAGAGAUGGAGCCAGUGGAGCUGACACAACACACUCACCUUGAGCUUGAAGUUGAACUUAGUCGAACUUGGCAAGCUGUGAAUAACUUGGUGGUUUGGAUUUAAUUUGAUUUUUAGUUCUACAGCGGUGCCAAAACCCGGGAGGAGGUAUGAGAUGCUGCCAUGGAAACGUCCCUGCUCAGUGAGAUAACUCGCCAGCCUCCACCAGAAACAACACCAGGCUCUCCUCGUCCUGCAAAAGGGACAAGAGCAUUGCUUUGAAGCCGUAGCUGAGGAGCAGACCAAGGACCAAUAGAUGCCCCAGAUGCGAAAUCAUCCGGCUGUCUAACUACAUGUCCUGCAAAAGAAAUGGCCAUUUCCACUCUGGGUUACACCAAUAUGUAACCCUUACAUUUGGUUUGUUUGGAGCCCCAGGCUCAUUUCAAUAUCUCUAUUCAAUAUCAUUUCAAUAUGGACAAAACACUCCACCUGCACAGCACAUAUGCCGCUACGUAUUUAGAUCAUAUAAUCAUUUAUAGUAAUGAUUGGCAGUGGCAUUUACAACAUGCCAUGCUAAAUUCCUUCAGACAGGCAGGACCCACAGCAAACCCAAAAAAGUGUGCAAUUGGACUGGUGGAAGUGCGGUAUCCAGGCUUCCACUUGGGCCAUGGGCAGGUGUGUCCCCAAAUUGACAAGACAGCAGCAAUUGUGGCCUGUCCAAAACCCAAAACCAAAAUGGGGUUAGGCAGAUGUCACCAGCCCAUUGACAGGUCUCACUAAAAAGAGGGUGCCAGUGUGAAUGAGCUUUUUUUUCCCAGAUAAAAGCAGUUUUGUGUAGGGCCCUGCUGUUGCAUUCUCCUGACUUCUCUUUCCAUAAUCUUCUUCAGACUGAUGCAGAGGAUCAGAGGACUGGGGUCCAUUUUGUUCCAGGUGUGGAGGAGCAAUCGGUGCUGUACAAGCAAAUAUAUAACAUUCAAGAAGAUUUGCUUGGCCAACAAUUGGGCGGUCCUCACCCUACAAUACUACCUAUUCGGGCACUGCUUUAACCUCAGUUCUGAUCACCCUAACCCUAACCUGUUUUGGAUGGUGGGGGUUGUGGUAAAGGGGGUGUAGUCAAGCAUCAGCUGUGCACAGACAGAGGAGGUUGGUUGAACCUUGCUACAUAUAUGCAAGCCAGAGAAAGCCAGAGCUGCCAGAGCCAACACAAUACACUUGCUUGAGGUUGAACUUGAACUUAGUGUAACUGGGCAAUCUUUGAACAGCUUAGUGGUUUGGAUUUAAGUUUAUUUCAUUUGGAUUUAAUUUGAAGUCAAAGAGAAGCAUGUGGUCAAUAUACGACCUACAUUUACAAUUACAUUUAUGACCUUUGGCAGAUGCCCUUAUACAGAUCGACUUACAGAAGUGCUUUGAAGUCUUUAUUAAUAAAUACAUCCUCAUACUCGUACCCUGAGAGAUGGUGAGCUCAACUGAGAAGUGCUAGAGGAUUGUAGGGAGCAUGAUGCAGUACAGGGUGCGAUACGAGCUUUAAGGUAGGUGGGUAUUGGUCCAUUUGUUGCUUUGUAGGCAAGCAUCAGUGUUUUAAAUCUGAGGCGGGCAGCUUCAGGAAGCCAUAGGAGGGAGCGUAGCAAUGGGGUGAUGUGGGAGAACUUGGGAAGGUUGAAAACACUUUGUGCAGCUGCAUUCUGGAUAAGAGGUCAAAUGGCAUGCAGAGGUAGACCUGCCAGAAGCAAGUUGCAGUAGUCCAGUCUUGAAAUGACAAGGGACUGAACAAGCACCUGAGCCUCCUUAGAUGAAUCCUUGUAAAGAAUAAAUCUAGGGACGUGAUCAUUCAGAUUUAUCCUUGUAAUUUUAUCAUUCAGAUUUAUCCUUGUAAAGGAUAAAUUUAUCCUUGUACAGGAUAAAUCUGCAUGAGCACAUCAGUUUGGUAAUAUGAGAGGAGAAAGAUGGUCCAUGGUCACCCCAAGGUUGCAUGCAGUGACAGAUGGCGAGAUCUGAGAGUUGUCCAGGGAGAUCAUAAGAUCCUGACAUGGAGUUGUAUCUCCUGGGAUGAAUAACAGUUCAGUUUUGCUAGGAUUAAGUUUCAGCUGAUGAGCUGACAUCCGUGAUGAGAUGUCUGCUAGACAUUCUGAGAUCCAAGCAGAAAUAUGAGUGUCUACGGGAGGACUGGAGAGGAUAAGUUGAGAAUCAUCUCCAUAGCUGUGUUAUGAAAACCCAUGUGAGGAUAUGACCUCACCAAGAGACUACCCCUCCAGGUAGGAAGCAAACCACUGCCAUGCUGGGUCACAAAUUCUCAUGAGGAUGGACAAGGGAAUCUUGUGGUUGACUGUGUCAGACAUUGUUGAAAGGUCAAGGAGGAUGAGGACUGAUGAGAGUUUGGCUGAUCUAGUGGCAUGGAGCUUCUCAGUGAUGGCCACAAGGGAAGUUUCUGUGGAAUGUGCCAUUUUAAAGCCAAACCGGUUAGGAUCUUGGAGGUUGUUCUGGGUGAGAUAGAGAGACAGUUGAUUGUAGAUGGUGCAUUCAAGAAUAUUUGAAAGGAAAGAGAGAAGUGAGACUGGUCAGUACUUGCUGAUGUCUAAGGGAUCCAGAGUGAGUUUCUUCAGGAUGGGAAUAACCCCUGCUGCCUUGAAUGCAUUUGGUACAUGACCAGAUGUUAUAGAGUCAUUAAUGAUGGUAGUGACGAAAAGGAGGAAGUCUUGUGAGAUGGUCUGAAGCAUUGUGGAAGGGAUGGUAUCCAACAGGCAGGUGGUGGGAUUGCAGGACAAGAUGAUUUGCAGGAUCUCUUCUGUUGAUGGAUGAGAAAAAUGUGUCAGAGAAGGAGAAAGUAAAAUAAAGUGCAGGCACUGUUGCUCCAUUAGUGAUGCUUUAAAAAGAUUCAUUGGUCCCAUGGGAGCUCAGCUUAGCCAUGUGCUUGCAGCUAUCGGCCCUCUGGGUGGUCCUCACUACACAGGGUCUACAGGGGUAAUCAGAUGCAGCAUAUCUAAUCCAGGGCUGCUGUAGUCUGUAUUGCCAGUACUGCCAUGGCAACAAUAAUUUUUAUUAAUGUAUUGCUCAGCAAUACUACUUUUCUCAGCUGUCAAAGAAGCAGUUUAGUUUGUAGAUAAACAAUUUUUCUUUGCUCACUGACAAUGGUCCAAGGUGUUCUGACAGAAAUGUUUAAGAAGAUAUUUUGCUUGAUUUUUGAAAACCAGAAGAAGGAUAAAUGUAUACAAUUUAUUGGGCACUGGCACCAUUACUGACAGCAUUACUAGUUAAUACAUGUUCUCUGACACAAUCAAGUAAAUGUGCCACUGAGUACGGCCCACUUCAAUCACUUCUUUUUCCUCAGCAAUGCACACAACAAGCAGGCUCAGUGAAAUGUAGUGCUGGUAACUGACAAACAGGGGUAAAAUUAAACAUUAACUCAAACAGGUAGAGGCAAGGAUGGAUUAAGAACUCAGAGGCCCAUGGGCCAAUACACCAUGGAGAUACUAUCCUUGGCAUGGAUUGCUGUUUCAGUAAUGUUAGCCACAGCACUCAGAUCUCUACUAACUUCCGUUGGUUUAAAAUAGGUUGAUAUAGCUGGUACAUCGGCCCAUGCUACUAUCUCUCUCAUUUCCUUCUUUUUUGUUUUCUUUUAGCAGCUCCACUAAUCCACUUUAGUUCCAUUUUCAAAUUUGCCAGGUAUCACACAAAUGUAUCCUUAGCUAAUAAGUUGAUGCAUUAUCUGACUGGUCUAGGUGUCAUCAUCUGAAAAAUGAAAACCAAUAAGAGAAUUAUAUGAAAUAAGUGUAUACUAGUUAUGCUCACUGGUUUAAAAAUCAUAAAUUGUUCACUUGAAAAUGAUGAAGCUUUCAAUUACAAACUUCAAGGAAUAAAAGAGAGGCCCUAGAGGCCCAUGGGAAAUGGCCCAAUUGGCCCUUUGGUUAAUCAGUCAUUGGGUGGAGGGCACGAAGAGUCUUUUUCUCAAGAUUAGCCAAGCUAAGGACAGCCCCCAUUUACAGAGGGAGAUCUAACACAGCCUGAAUUAGAUCCCUAGACAGUGAUUACAUCGUGGUUUUCUUUUAUUAAUCAUGUCACCACAGCACAGGCUAGGUUCUGCAUGCAAGUUUGCUUUGCUACUAGAUAUUCAUUCAGAUACAUCCACUAAUUUAUUCAGAUACAUGGUUUGGUCAAAUGUGCAUCCUGAUCAUGCAUUUUCUAAAUCAGACAGCCAACAUCUUUAGAGAUUUAAAAUAGCUUGUUGCUGUGUUAUUUUAUAUGCACAAACAGGGCCCAGGUGCAAGUGAAUGGAUAAGGGCCCUCUGCCCACCCCAACUUCCCCAAAAUCUACUGCCGUUGUACAAACAUAGACCAAGAGAAUAAUUAGUAUAUUCUUCAGUAAUUAGUUCUUUAAAGAAAAAAACACAUAGACAUACCUUAAAUUUGGAGACAUUGCAAUUUUUUCUCAGCAAAUCUAGCAAUGGCAUCAUUGAACUCCACCUGUCUUGCAGUACUGUUCUCUAUGGGGAGCAAAAGCAGAGAUGACAGUCUUUCUUGUGACAUGCUAGAUCUCAGAUAAUUCUUUUUUAUCAGUUUCAGUUUGCUAAAAGAUCAUUCUGCACUUGCUCAUCCACAGUCAUUUCACUAGGAAUCUUAUUUCUGCACCGUGUGCGAUGCUCUGUGAAGGUAGGCCUAAUAUCCAUUUUUCUGGCAAGCUCCUUUCCUUUCUCACUGGCAUGAUGGAAUCCUCUUUGUCAAUAAGA